RNAcentral lists this unclassified non-coding RNA (333 nucleotides) under soil metagenome. RNAcentral describes it as "partial contains 5.8S ribosomal RNA, internal transcribed spacer 2, and large subunit ribosomal RNA". The stretch from base 1 to 120 matches the Rfam family "5.8S ribosomal RNA", at positions 35 to 154 of the family's 154-position model. The record is from RNAcentral.
GAUGAAGAACGCAGCGAAAUGCGAUACGUAAUGUGAAUUGCAGAAUACAGUGAAUCAUCGAAUCUUUGAACGCACAUUGCGCCUGCCAGCACUCUGGCAGGCAUGCCUGUUCGAGCGUCAUUUCAACCAUCAAGCCCUAGGCUUGCGUUGGAGCCCUGCGGCUGCCGCAGGCCCCUAAAAGCAGUGGCGGGCUCGCUAUCACACCGAGUGCAGUAGAUUACUCUUCGCUCAGGGCGUGUGGCGGGUUCCAGCCGUGAAACCCCCUACUUCUCAAGGUUGACCUCGGAUCAGGUAGGAAUACCCGCUGAACUUAAGCAUAUCAUAAGCGGAGGA